UACGUAGGGUCCGAGCGUUGUCCGGAAUUACUGGGCGUAAAGCGCGCGCAGGCGGCCCGCGAGGUGUCACGUGAAAGCCCCGGGCUCAACCCGGGAGGGUCGUGGCAAACCGGCGGGCUUGAGGCCGGUAGAGGUGGGUGGAACUCCUGGUGGAGUGGUGAAAUGCGUAGAGAUCAGGAAGAACACCCGUGGCGAAGGCGGCUUCCUGGACCGGUUCUGACACUGAGGAGCGAAAGCGUGGGGAGCGAUCCGG
This 253-nucleotide ribosomal RNA is filed under the name uncultured bacterium. RNAcentral's name for it is "partial 16S ribosomal RNA". It matches the Rfam family "Bacterial small subunit ribosomal RNA", at positions 524 to 776 of the family's 1533-position model. The record is from RNAcentral.